This 1405-nucleotide long non-coding RNA is filed under the name Betta splendens (Siamese fighting fish). Its description in RNAcentral is "lncRNA (ENSBSLG00000018644.1)". The record is from RNAcentral. Lineage: Eukaryota; Metazoa; Chordata; Actinopteri; Anabantiformes; Osphronemidae.
AUGGAGUACCAGCUGCUCAAGUUCUUCACUCUGCUCAUCGUCCUCCUCAUCCUGUCGUCGUGCUACUUGGCCUUUCGCGUGUGCAGUCUGGAGCAGCAGCUCUCCUUCCUCAGCAACCCCAACCUGCCCCUGAGAGAGAGGUACCAGCACAGGCCCCACUCUGUCCACCCGUGGCGUGACCCUCCUCCAACCGGCUGCCUUUUGUCCCGUCCAGGUAGCGGCGCCGCCUGCUGCCACGCUGCCGUUACGCCCCGCGCGUGGACAUGACAGGUCCAGGACCAGCCCAGAGCCUGGAGCCCGGACCAGAACCCGGACCAGAACCAACCGCGCACCAGCUGCCACGCGCGAAGGGCAACCAGCCACGCACCCCACGGACCCUCCCUCUGGGGACGGACUUCCGUUUCAGUGAUCACUUCCAAACUAUGCAAAGAGACGAUGAAGUCGUUUCCUACCUCUUUCCGUCCCUCUCACAGAUGACACUGCGGUGCAUAGGGGUCCGGGAGUAGUCAGCAGCUCACGGUUGAACCGGCCGUUUGCGGCACCGGUGAGGUUUAGUAGUGAAGGAAGCUAGAGGUGUAAAGAGAUCAUAAACAGCAAAUGUAACAUAUUCUGCUGAUAAAGCGCAGGUUAAACCACAGGGUCUUUAUUUGUGGUGAGGUUCUGCUGUAGUCGUUAGUAGUGAAGCUAAAACUAGCUGCAACAAUGCACUUUUUAAUAUAGAAAUGUAUCUAUAACACUUUGAAGAGUUUGGGUCUAUUUUGCUUUAUCUAUGAUAAUGAUCAUACUGUAGGUACACAGUUGUCAUUUUUAAGGUAUUUAUGGAAGAGAGUCAUUUUCUGACACUUGACUGAAGUGAAUCCUGUCAUUUAACUGGAGCUGUUUCGCCCGUGGGCGUCGACAAUAAUGUGAAAGGCAGUUAAAUGACGUGAACGUUGUGUUUUACAGGGUAGUUUUUCUUUUCUACAUUUCAAAUCAAGUCACCAUAGGCUUGAAAUGACUCAUGUCACAUCAUUACACGAUUUUCUGAAGAUGUUUCACUUGAAUAGACUUUGUCUUGGAUCUAAUGUUGUCAGAGACUCGUUUGUAAAAUCCCUCUGAAUUAAAUUGGUAACAGAAUCUGGAUGAACACAAAAAGAAGAAACGUGUGGAUUUAAUUUAUUUUGGGUCAUAAACGCUCAGACCACCAUGAACAGCCUGUAGUCUCACCGUACAGUCAGCUUACCCCAAACCUACAAGACUGUAACACAGAGCUGGCAGCAGUGCACAGGUCUCAUUAAAUACUGUAUAAAGUGUGUCUGCAGACUUUUACUGCAGACUUUUACACCAGGCAGUAGCUCUGCGCUGUAGAGGAGGAGGAGACAUAAUAGUGAAUAAAAGAACGUUUAUGGAUGUAGUUUUCUAGAUC